Molecule: non-coding RNA, 980 nt
Organism: Nylanderia fulva
Lineage: Eukaryota; Metazoa; Arthropoda; Insecta; Hymenoptera; Formicidae
Source: RefSeq, a predicted model, not a curated record
AACGUAAACCCGCUUAUCAGUCCGCCUCCGUGCUCUAAACGUGCGCAUUAUCACAAAGUAUAGAAAAUAUUGCAAUAAAGUUUUACGUCGAAUUAUCAUUGGCUAAGAAUUCGCAGGUUAUUUUUUUCAAAAUUGUUAUCGAUACAGAAUAACUAUUUUUUAUUGUAUGCGAAAUGUCACAGAGUUUGUUACGUUUGCCUAUAUUUUUCAUUCACUGUAUUAUAUUUCGAGUGCAUAUAACGUUUUAUUUCGACUUACAAUUAUAGUUAUGCCACAAUUGUAUAUUAGGUACGAAUUUAUUUGUUCGAAGGUGAUGUGUAACAACGAAGCAUGGAGAAUCAGUUGAGCUACCAAGAUGGUAUCCAGUGCACCAACGAUGUUUUUGGCUAGAUUUAGAAGUGGAGUAUCUCCAAUUGACCGCAGAGAUGCAUACAAAUACCGAAGAGAAAAACAUCGCUGCCAACAUUCCCUGUAGCUGUGCUGAUCAACUGAACAGUCUGAAGAAUAUACAUGCCAUAACAAACGAUCGACACAUUGGACGGACAAGUCAUUUCGUGCGGCAAUUGUAUCUGUUUCUCGGAUUUUGUGGCAUUCUGUAAAGAAGGCGACAUCACAACAGAUAAAAAAGAUUCGGCUAUCAACGGAAGGAUAACAAUGUAUGAGGAACCCAUCUGAAAGAAGUAAACGCGUCUGCUCAAAUUAUCACGAUGCAGUCGUAUCAGCGUUAUCUUUAUGAUAGUCAAAAUGCCGCAUGUCGCCAGUACGAAGUGGUCGACGAUGACACUCAGCAUGACAUCUUUGUCGUAACCAAUAUUUAUUAUUAAAUAGAUCACCAUAAUAGUCUACCAACAAAUAUGUAAAAUUUAUUUAUUAUAUUUUUUAUCACAGACAAUAAUUCAGACGCAACGCUUACAAAAUAUCGUUAAUCUUGUUUAAAAACAAGUUAUAAAACUUUUAGCAAAUAAAUUGAUCGAUGAUAA